GACGAACGCUGGCGGCGUGCUUAACACAUGCAAGUCGAACGGUAAGGCCCUUCGGGGUACACGAGUGGCGAACGGGUGAGUAACACGUGGGUGAUCUGCCCUGCACUUCGGGGUAAGCCUGGGAAACUGGGUCUAAUACCGGAUAGGACUCCUGGCUUCAUGGUUGAGGGUGGAAAGCUUUUGCGGUGUGGGAUGGGCCCGCGGCCUAUCAGCUUGUUGGUGGGGUAAUGGCCUACCAAGGCGACGACGGGUAGCCGGCCUGAGAGGGUGACCGGUCGCACUGGGACUGAGGUACGGCCCAGACUCCUACGGGAGGCAGCAGUGGGGAAUAUUGCACAAUGGGCGCAAGCCUGAUGCAGCGACGCCGCGUGAGGGAUGACGGCCUUCGGGUUGUAAACCUCUUUCAGCUAUGACGAAGCGCAAGUGACGGUAGUAGCAGAAGAAGGACCGGCCAACUACGUGCCAGCCGCCGCGGUAA
This 478-nucleotide ribosomal RNA is filed under the name uncultured bacterium. Its description in RNAcentral is "partial 16S ribosomal RNA". It matches the Rfam family "Bacterial small subunit ribosomal RNA", at positions 28 to 523 of the family's 1533-position model. The record is from RNAcentral.